AGAGUUUGAUCCUGGCUCAGAUUGAACGCUGGCGGCAUGCCUUACACAUGCAAGUCGAACGGCAGCAUGAUCUAGCUUGCUAGAUUGAUGGCGAGUGGCGAACGGGUGAGUAAUACAUCGGAACGUGCCCUGUAGUGGGGGAUAACUAGUCGAAAGAUUAGCUAAUACCGCAUACGACCUGAGGGUGAAAGUGGGGGACCGCAAGGCCUCAUGCUAUAGGAGCGGCCGAUGUCUGAUUAGCUAGUUGGUGGGGUAAAGGCCCACCAAGGCGACGAUCAGUAGCUGGUCUGAGAGGACGAUCAGCCACACUGGGACUGAGACACGGCCCAGACUCCUACGGGAGGCAGCAGAAGGG
This 355-nucleotide ribosomal RNA is filed under the name uncultured Ralstonia sp. Its description in RNAcentral is "bacterial SSU rRNA". It matches the Rfam family "Bacterial small subunit ribosomal RNA", at positions 8 to 359 of the family's 1533-position model. Lineage: Bacteria; Pseudomonadati; Pseudomonadota; Betaproteobacteria; Burkholderiales; Burkholderiaceae. The record is from RNAcentral.